UGAGGAAUAUUGGACAAUGGAUGGAAAUCUGAUCCAGCCAUGCCGCGUGCAGGAAGACUGCCCUAUGGGUUGUAAACUGCUUUUGUAUGGGAGCAAUAAGCCCUUCGUGAAGGGUGAUGAGAGUACCAUACGAAUAAGCAUCGGCUAACUCCGUGCCAGCAGCCGCGGUAAUACGGAGGAUGCAAGCGUUAUCCGGAUUUAUGGGUUUAAAGGGUGCGUAGGCGGUUGGAUAAGUCAGCGGUGAAAGUUUUCUGCUUAAACAGGAAAAAUGCCGUUGAUACUGUCUGGCUAGAAUAUGGUUGCUGUGAGUGGAAUGUGUGGUGUAGCGGUGAAAUGCUUAGAUAUCACACAGAAUAUCGAUUGCGAAGGCAGCUCACAAAGCCAUUAUUGACGCUGAGG
RNAcentral lists this ribosomal RNA (399 nucleotides) under uncultured bacterium. Its description in RNAcentral is "bacterial SSU rRNA". It matches the Rfam family "Bacterial small subunit ribosomal RNA", at positions 355 to 751 of the family's 1533-position model. The record is from RNAcentral.